Molecule: microRNA precursor, 88 nt
Filed under: Tursiops truncatus (common bottlenose dolphin)
Lineage: Eukaryota; Metazoa; Chordata; Mammalia; Artiodactyla; Delphinidae
Description: miRNA (ENSTTRG00000024294.1)
Rfam family: Eukaryotic large subunit ribosomal RNA
Source: RNAcentral
AAGCAGAAGGUGUCAGAAAAGUUACCACGGGGAUAACUGGCUUGUGGCGGCCGAGCGUCCAUAGCGACGUCGCUUUUUGAUCCUUCGA